Molecule: transfer RNA, 70 nt
Filed under: Camelus bactrianus (Bactrian camel)
Lineage: Eukaryota; Metazoa; Chordata; Mammalia; Artiodactyla; Camelidae
Also listed under: 2 other names
Rfam family: tRNA
About the family: Transfer RNA (tRNA) molecules are approximately 80 nucleotides in length.
Source: Rfam by way of RNAcentral
GUGGGAAUAGCUCAGUGGUAGAGCACAUGCUUAGCAUGCAUGAACCUGGGUUCAAUCCCUAGUACCUCCA